GUCUAUGAUGGUUCCACCCUAGAUGCACCAAUCUCUUUCAAUCUCAGAAGCUAAGUAGGCCUAGACCUGGUUAUACUUGGAUGGGAGAUUUGAGAUAACUAUGUCUAUAUUAGCU
RNAcentral lists this ribosomal RNA (115 nucleotides) under Jaculus jaculus (lesser Egyptian jerboa). Lineage: Eukaryota; Metazoa; Chordata; Mammalia; Rodentia; Dipodidae. The record is from RNAcentral.